RNAcentral lists this transfer RNA (80 nucleotides) under Actinobacillus succinogenes 130Z. It matches the Rfam family "tRNA". Rfam says of the family: Transfer RNA (tRNA) molecules are approximately 80 nucleotides in length. Their secondary structure includes four short double-helical elements and three loops (D, anti-codon, and T loops). Lineage: Bacteria; Pseudomonadati; Pseudomonadota; Gammaproteobacteria; Pasteurellales; Pasteurellaceae. The record is from Rfam by way of RNAcentral.
GCGGAAGUGGCGAAAUUGGUAGACGCACCGGAUUUAGGUUCCGGCGCUUGUGCGUGUGGGUUCAAGUCCCUCCUUCCGCA